This 225-nucleotide ribosomal RNA is filed under the name Triticum aestivum (bread wheat). Its description in RNAcentral is "partial small subunit ribosomal RNA". The record is from RNAcentral. Lineage: Eukaryota; Viridiplantae; Streptophyta; Magnoliopsida; Poales; Poaceae.
AUGAGUUGUUUGAGCUGGAACUGCCGGGGGCUUGGGAACCCUGAGGCAGUUCGAGAGCUUCGCAGUAUUGUGAAGCUAGAAGGACCCACCCUCCUCUUCGUUAUGGAAACAAAGAUCAAUGCAAAAAGAGUUGAGGCGUUGAAGUACACUCUAGGUUUUGGAGGUUGUUUUGCUGUAGACAGUGCCGGCCUUAGUGGCGGUAUUGGUCUUUUCUGGUCUCGCGAU